CCAAAAUUUUUCUCCAAAAGUCUUCUUCUUGCACGCCCCACUCUUCUCCUCCUUUUAUAACCACGUCAAACGUCUUAUCCAAAAGAAAGGAUAAAGAUGAGUAAUUGCACAUUUGAAUUCAAAUCAAAUUUUGAAUUCAAAUAGACACCAACUCAUCCCUUAUCCACUAAAGGCGUGAGGCAUGGCUUAAAUUGUGUAUGGAGUGAUUUCAUGAGAAACCUUUUCUCAUGUAAUAAAUGAGGCGUAAAAAAAGGGAUAAGGUGCAAAGAUUGAUUGCCCAUUCAAAUUCAAACUUUAUUUUGAAUUUGAAUGGCCAACCAAUCAUCCUUAUCCAUUCAUAUGGCAUAUUAAAGUGGGGCGUGGAGAGGGCUUGGCGUGAGGAAAAAAUUCAUGAGAAGUUCCUUCUCAUGAAUUCAAAUGGGUGCAAUGGAAGUGAGGUGGCGCAUGGAGAUUGGGUCAAGGUGGUUUAAUUAUUUAAACCAACCUAAUUAAACCAAAUAAGUUAGGU
RNAcentral lists this long non-coding RNA (508 nucleotides) under Elaeis guineensis (African oil palm). Its description in RNAcentral is "long non-coding RNA (EGUI_LNC033161)". The record is from RNAcentral. Lineage: Eukaryota; Viridiplantae; Streptophyta; Magnoliopsida; Arecales; Arecaceae.